RNAcentral lists this ribosomal RNA (407 nucleotides) under uncultured bacterium. RNAcentral's name for it is "bacterial SSU rRNA". It matches the Rfam family "Bacterial small subunit ribosomal RNA", at positions 356 to 773 of the family's 1533-position model. The record is from RNAcentral.
GGGGAAUAUUGCACAAUGGGCGCAAGCCUGAUGCAGCGACGCCGCGUGCGGGAUGACGGCCUUCGGGUUGUAAACCGCUUUUGUUGGGGAGCAAGCCUUCGGGUGAGUGUACCCUUCGAAUAAGCACCGGCUAACUACGUGCCAGCAGCCGCGGUAAUACGUAGGGUGCAAGCGUUAUCCGGAAUUAUUGGGCGUAAAGAGCUCGUAGGCGGUUCGUCGCGUCCGGUGUGAAAGUCCAUCGCUUAACGGUGGAUCUGCGCCGGGUACGGGCGGGCUGGAGUGCGGUAGGAGAGACUGGAAUUCCCGGCGUAACGGUGGAAUGUGUAGAUAUCGGGAAGAACACCAAUGGCGAAGGCAGGUCUCUGGGCCGUUACUGACGCUGAGGAGCGAAAGCGUGGGGAGCGAAC